Long non-coding RNA from Cloeon dipterum, 458 nucleotides. RefSeq lists it as uncharacterized. The transcript is spliced from 4 exons. The record is from RefSeq and is a predicted model, not a curated record. Lineage: Eukaryota; Metazoa; Arthropoda; Insecta; Ephemeroptera; Baetidae.
CGACAUCCCUGCCCGACGGACGGUCGAACGGCGUCGCUGCUCAACUCACCUCGUAUUUUGCAGAAAUCCAGCUUUCCCGCUUCGCUUUCGAGCCAUGGGUCCCAAAAUGAAAUGCGCCGCAUUAAUACUCUUCUGUACUCUGUCCUUUGCUGUGUUCACCACCCAAGUUGGUCUCAUGUGGCAACUCAUCCAAAUUGAUCCAAGGUACCAGCUCGACAGAUUUGAACCUGAUCGUGCAGUCAAGAAUGCUACUCAUCCCGACCGCUGGGUGGAUUACUCCAUCCGCCGACUCGCAACACAAUCAGCGUUGCAGCAAGACCUAAUGAUGAUUUCUGUUUCUCUCGCAAACAUCUCUAUUUGCGGGACUCUUUUGGUGGCAAAGAUUUUCCCACUUUACGUGGAAUAUCUUGUGCGUCUGCAGAACAAGAACCAGGCUGCUUUUGCUUAAUUCGGCGGCA